This 497-nucleotide ribosomal RNA is filed under the name uncultured bacterium. Its description in RNAcentral is "partial 16S ribosomal RNA". It matches the Rfam family "Bacterial small subunit ribosomal RNA", at positions 28 to 507 of the family's 1533-position model. The record is from RNAcentral.
GAUGAACGCUGGCGGCGUGCCUAAUACAUGCAAGUCGAGCGAACAGACGAGGAGCUUGCUCCUCUGACGUUAGCGGCGGACGGGUGAGUAACACGUGGAUAACCUACCUAUAAGACUGGGAUAACUUCGGGAAACCGGAGCUAAUACCGGAUAAUAUAUUGAACCGCAUGGUUCAAUAGUGAAAGACGGUUUUGCUGUCACUUAUAGAUGGAUCCGCUCCGCAUUAGCUAGUUGGUAAGGUAACGGCUUACCAAGGCAACGAUGCGUAGCCGACCUGAGAGGGUGAUCGGCCACACUGGAACUGAGACAAGGUCCAGACUCCUACGGGAGGCAGCAGUAGGGAAUCUUCAGCAAAGGGCGAAAGCCUGACGGAGCAACGCCGCGUGAGUGAUGAAGGUCUUCGGAUCGUAAAACUCUGUUAUUAGGGAAGAACAAAUGUGUAAGUAACUAUGCACGUCUUGACGGUACCUAAUCAGAAAGCCACGGCUAACUACGUG